Molecule: ribosomal RNA, 2898 nt
Filed under: Klebsiella pneumoniae
Lineage: Bacteria; Pseudomonadati; Pseudomonadota; Gammaproteobacteria; Enterobacterales; Enterobacteriaceae
Description: bacterial LSU rRNA
Rfam family: Bacterial large subunit ribosomal RNA
Source: RNAcentral
UAAGCGACUAAGCGUACACGGUGGAUGCCCUGGCAGUCAGAGGCGAUGAAGGACGUGCUAAUCUGCGAAAAGCGUCGGUAAGGUGAUAUGAACCGUUAUAACCGGCGAUGUCCGAAUGGGGAAACCCAGUGCAAUUCGUUGCACUAUCGUUAACUGAAUACAUAGGUUAACGAGGCGAACCGGGGGAACUGAAACAUCUAAGUACCCCGAGGAAAAGAAAUCAACCGAGAUUCCCCCAGUAGCGGCGAGCGAACGGGGAGCAGCCCAGAGUCUGAAUCAGCUUGUGUGUUAGUGGAACGGUCUGGAAAGUCCGACGGUACAGGGUGAUAGUCCCGUACACCAAAAUGCACAGGUUGUGAACUCGAAGAGUAGGGCGGGACACGUGGUAUCCUGUCUGAAUAUGGGGGGACCAUCCUCCAAGGCUAAAUACUCCUGACUGACCGAUAGUGAACCAGUACCGUGAGGGAAAGGCGAAAAGAACCCCGGCGAGGGGAGUGAAAAAGAACCUGAAACCGUGUACGUACAAGCAGUGGGAGCACCUUCGGGUGUGACUGCGUACCUUUUGUAUAAUGGGUCAGCGACUUAUAUUCUGUAGCAAGGUUAACCGUAUAGGGGAGCCGCAGGGAAACCGAGUCUUAACUGGGCGUUAAGUUGCAGGGUAUAGACCCGAAACCCGGUGAUCUAGCCAUGGGCAGGUUGAAGGUUGGGUAACACUAACUGGAGGACCGAACCGACUAAUGUUGAAAAAUUAGCGGAUGACUUGUGGCUGGGGGUGAAAGGCCAAUCAAACCGGGAGAUAGCUGGUUCUCCCCGAAAGCUAUUUAGGUAGCGCCUCGUGAAUUCAUCUUCGGGGGUAGAGCACUGUUUCGGCUAGGGGGUCAUCCCGACUUACCAACCCGAUGCAAACUACGAAUACCGAAGAAUGUUAUCACGGGAGACACACGGCGGGUGCUAACGUCCGUCGUGAAGAGGGAAACAACCCAGACCGCCAGCUAAGGUCCCAAAGUCAUGGUUAAGUGGGAAACGAUGUGGGAAGGCACAGACAGCCAGGAUGUUGGCUUAGAAGCAGCCAUCAUUUAAAGAAAGCGUAAUAGCUCACUGGUCGAGUCGGCCUGCGCGGAAGAUGUAACGGGGCUAAACCAUGCACCGAAGCUGCGGCAGCGACACUAUGUGUUGUUGGGUAGGGGAGCGUUCUGUAAGCCUGCGAAGGUGUGCUGUGAGGCAUGCUGGAGGUAUCAGAAGUGCGAAUGCUGACAUAAGUAACGAUAAAGCGGGUGAAAAGCCCGCUCGCCGGAAGACCAAGGGUUCCUGUCCAACGUUAAUCGGGGCAGGGUGAGUCGACCCCUAAGGCGAGGCCGAAAGGCGUAGUCGAUGGGAAACAGGUUAAUAUUCCUGUACUUGGUGUUACUGCGAAGGGGGGACGGAGAAGGCUAUGUUAGCCGGGCGACGGUUGUCCCGGUUUAAGCAUGUAGGCUGAUUAUCCAGGCAAAUCCGGAUAAUCAAGGCUGAGGUGUGAUGACGAGGCACUACGGUGCUGAAGUAACAAAUGCCCUGCUUCCAGGAAAAGCCUCUAAGCAUCAGGUAACAUCAAAUCGUACCCCAAACCGACACAGGUGGUCAGGUAGAGAAUACCAAGGCGCUUGAGAGAACUCGGGUGAAGGAACUAGGCAAAAUGGUGCCGUAACUUCGGGAGAAGGCACGCUGGUGUGUAGGUGAAGCCCCUGCGGGUGGAGCUGAGACCAGUCGAAGAUACCAGCUGGCUGCAACUGUUUAUUAAAAACACAGCACUGUGCAAACACGAAAGUGGACGUAUACGGUGUGACGCCUGCCCGGUGCCGGAAGGUUAAUUGAUGGGGUUAUCCGUAAGGAGAAGCUCUUGAUCGAAGCCCCGGUAAACGGCGGCCGUAACUAUAACGGUCCUAAGGUAGCGAAAUUCCUUGUCGGGUAAGUUCCGACCUGCACGAAUGGCGUAAUGAUGGCCAGGCUGUCUCCACCCGAGACUCAGUGAAAUUGAACUCGCUGUGAAGAUGCAGUGUACCCGCGGCAAGACGGAAAGACCCCGUGAACCUUUACUAUAGCUUGACACUGAACAUUGAGCCUUGAUGUGUAGGAUAGGUGGGAGGCUUUGAAGCGUGGACGCCAGUCUGCGUGGAGCCAACCUUGAAAUACCACCCUUUAAUGUUUGAUGUUCUAACGUUGGCCCCUUACCGGGGUUGCGGACAGUGUCUGGUGGGUAGUUUGACUGGGGCGGUCUCCUCCUAAAGCGUAACGGAGGAGCACGAAGGUUAGCUAAUCCUGGUCGGACAUCAGGAGGUUAGUGCAAUGGCAUAAGCUAGCUUGACUGCGAGCGUGACGGCGCGAGCAGGUGCGAAAGCAGGUCAUAGUGAUCCGGUGGUUCUGAAUGGAAGGGCCAUCGCUCAACGGAUAAAAGGUACUCCGGGGAUAACAGGCUGAUACCGCCCAAGAGUUCAUAUCGACGGCGGUGUUUGGCACCUCGAUGUCGGCUCAUCACAUCCUGGGGCUGAAGUAGGUCCCAAGGGUAUGGCUGUUCGCCAUUUAAAGUGGUACGCGAGCUGGGUUUAGAACGUCGUGAGACAGUUCGGUCCCUAUCUGCCGUGGGCGCUGGAGAAUUGAGGGGGGCUGCUCCUAGUACGAGAGGACCGGAGUGGACGCAUCACUGGUGUUCGGGUUGUCAUGCCAAUGGCACUGCCCGGUAGCUAAAUGCGGAAGAGAUAAGUGCUGAAAGCAUCUAAGCACGAAACUUGCCCCGAGAUGAGUUCUCCCUGAGACUUUAAGUCUCCUGAAGGAACGUUGAAGACGACGACGUUGAUAGGCCGGGUGUGUAAGCGCAGCGAUGCGUUGAGCUAACCGGUACUAAUGAACCGUGAGGCUUAACCU